Molecule: long non-coding RNA, 247 nt
Organism: Hevea brasiliensis (rubber tree)
Lineage: Eukaryota; Viridiplantae; Streptophyta; Magnoliopsida; Malpighiales; Euphorbiaceae
Exons: 3
Source: RefSeq, a predicted model, not a curated record
CGGUGGGCUAUGGAGAUAAUUCAACUUCCAGAGGCUUCCUCAUAAAUUUUUGGAAUUUUUGAGACACAGAUAAACUUCGGGUGAUCGAGAUCAGCUAUUUUUCUGCGUCCAGCAGCCACAAUAGUCAUGGGUGUACUGCCACAGGAGGAGUUAUUUUACAGAGCAACCUGUUUUCUUCCUCGCAGGUUUAACGUCGAUUAUUUAGCUGUUUUACUAUCUUUUCUAAAUUUAAAAUCUAGAACUCCGC